AAAAGACAGUAGUUAAACUCUACUAUUAAGGG
RNAcentral lists this transfer RNA (32 nucleotides) under Diadema antillarum. RNAcentral describes it as "partial tRNA-Lys". The record is from RNAcentral. Lineage: Eukaryota; Metazoa; Echinodermata; Echinoidea; Diadematoida; Diadematidae.